UACAGAGGUCUCAAGCGUUGUUCGGAUUCAUUGGGCGUAAAGGGUGCGUAGGUGGCGCCGUAAGUCGGGUGUGAAAUUUCGGAGCUUAACUCCGAAACUGCAUUCGAUACUGCGGUGCUUGAGGACUGGAGAGGAGAGUGGAAUUCCUGGUGUAGCGGUGAAAUGCGUAGAUAUCUGGAGGAACACCGGUGGCGAAGGCGACAUCCUGGACCGGUAUUGACGCUGAGGCGCGAAAGCCAGGGGAGCAAACGGG
Molecule: ribosomal RNA, 253 nt
Filed under: uncultured bacterium
Lineage: Bacteria
Description: partial 16S ribosomal RNA
Rfam family: Bacterial small subunit ribosomal RNA
Source: RNAcentral